CGAAGUAGCAUACUUAUUGGCAGACGGGUGAGUAACAUGUGGGUAUCUACCCUUUGGCCUGGAAUAACACGAGGAAACUUGUGCUAAUACCGGAUAAGUCUUUACGGAGAAAGCUUUAUGCACCAUUGGAUGAGCCCGCACUUGAUUAGUUUGUUGGUAGGGUAAUGGCCUACCAAGACUAUGAUCAAUAGCUGAUUUGAGAGGAUGAUCAGCCACAUUGGGACUGAGACACGGCCCAAACUCCUACGGGAGGCAGCAGUGGGGAAUCUUGCACAAUGGAGGAAACUCUGAUGCAGCGAUGCCGCGUGAGUGAAGAAGGCCUUUGGGUUGUAAAGCUCUUUCGUCGGGGAAGAAAAUGACUGUACCCGAAUAAGAAGGUCCGGCUAACUUCGUGCCAGCCGCCCGGG
This 407-nucleotide ribosomal RNA is filed under the name SAR11 cluster bacterium enrichment culture clone PSHTC-031. Its description in RNAcentral is "bacterial SSU rRNA". It matches the Rfam family "Bacterial small subunit ribosomal RNA", at positions 79 to 521 of the family's 1533-position model. Lineage: Bacteria; Pseudomonadati; Pseudomonadota; Alphaproteobacteria; Candidatus Pelagibacterales. The record is from RNAcentral.